Pelobates cultripes (western spadefoot toad) is the source of this 241-nucleotide non-coding RNA. The record is from the annotation of a GenBank genome assembly. NCBI's taxonomy places the organism in Eukaryota, Metazoa, Chordata, Amphibia, Anura, Pelobatidae.
GCAUCUGAAGGAAAGCGUCUGUCGCCACCGCAUCCGGGUCUGGUCUCCAACUGUAAAAGUACGGUAACUGAGUGUUCAGGCGGGAUGCGAAAAAGUCUAUCACAAACCAACCCCAUAACCUGUCUAGACUCCAAAACACCAAAACGUGUAAGUGCCAAACUCCAGAGUCUCGUAAAUGUCUGGAGUUCCAAUCCACACUCGAAUUGUCCAGACCUGGAAUGUGUUCCACUGUCAUGGAGAC